CCUACGGGUGGCUGCAGUAGGGAAUAUUGGGCAAUGGGCGGAAGCCUGACCCAGCCACGCCGCGUGCAGGAAGACGGCCCUCUGGGUUGUAAACUGCUUUUAACUGGGAAGAAAAGAGGCCUUGCGAGGCAAGUUGACGGUACCAGUUGAAUAAGCCACGGCUAACUACGUGCCAGCAGCCGCGGUAAUACGUAGGUGGCGAGCGUUAUCCGGAUUUAUUGGGUUUAAAGGGAGCGUAGGCGGCUGAUUAAGUCAGCUGUGAAAGGUAGCGGCUUAACUGUUUUACAUGCCGUUGAUACAUGUUAGCUUGAGUUGACAGAAGGCAGAUAGAAUUCCUUAUGUAUCGGUGAAAUGCUUAGAUAUCAGGAGGAAUACCGAUUGCGAAGGCAGUCUGCUGCAGUCACACUGACGCUGAGGCUCGAAGGUGCGGGGAUCAAACAGGUUUAGAUGCCCGAGUAGUC
Molecule: ribosomal RNA, 461 nt
Filed under: Escherichia coli
Lineage: Bacteria; Pseudomonadati; Pseudomonadota; Gammaproteobacteria; Enterobacterales; Enterobacteriaceae
Description: bacterial SSU rRNA
Rfam family: Bacterial small subunit ribosomal RNA
Source: RNAcentral